CUUGAACAUUCGAAUUCGACGGAAGGUUUAAAAUAAUCGGCGCGCGAAAAAGAAUCAUGUCCGCGACAUUAAGGAAGAUCGUAACUAUCGUCACGAUAGCGUUGUUGUGCUAUGCACGCACGAAGUAUGAUUUCGAUUACGAUCCCAUUAAAGUGUAAGAUUUCAGUUAAAUUUUCUUGGAUUUCGAUCGAAACCUAAAGAAGAAUCUAUGGCGAUAUAUACACCAGAGUUUCGUGCAUACAAGUGCACACAAGUGCACACAAAUGGCGCAUCUUCAAUUAAGCAAAAGAUUUGGGAGUUUGGAAAAGUUUUUAAACAACAAUGAACUGCAAACACGUGAACAUAUGUAACAAACAAUUCUAACAAAUGUAAUCGACUAUUAUUUUUGUUCUACGUUCAACAAAUAAAAAUAUAUGAAAUACUAUUAUUGUUUAAGAUCGACGUACUCGAUCACAUCAAUAAAUAUUUUUAUUGCUUGUUGGAUAUAUUUGAAAUAAGA
Long non-coding RNA from Megalopta genalis, 499 nucleotides. RefSeq lists it as uncharacterized. The record is from RefSeq and is a predicted model, not a curated record. NCBI's taxonomy places the organism in Eukaryota, Metazoa, Arthropoda, Insecta, Hymenoptera, Halictidae.